RNAcentral lists this non-coding RNA (120 nucleotides) under Desulforamulus aeronauticus. RNAcentral's name for it is "Desulfotomaculum aeronauticum MoCo sequence". It matches the Rfam family "Molybdenum/Tungsten riboswitch aptamer (Moco RNA motif)". Lineage: Bacteria; Bacillati; Bacillota; Clostridia; Eubacteriales; Peptococcaceae. The record is from RNAcentral.
UAGGUUUAUUACCUCCGAGCUCUGUAACCUGUGAUAGUAGAUUAUGGUUACUGCGGCCGUUAGGGUUUAUCUGGAAACGGGUAAGCCUCCCGUGUGGAAAGGAUGGUAGCUUUAUUAAGC